GGGUCAGAACAGGAAUAGCAGAGAGAGCUGCAGGGCAGGAUGGAGGGGUAGUGACAGAGCUGUGUGUGGGGUCAGUACAGGAAUAGCAGAGAGAGCUGCAGGGCAGGAUGGAGGUGUAGUGACAGAGCUGUGUGUGGGGUCAGUACAGGAAUAGCAGAGAGAGCUGCAGGGCAGGAUGGAGGUGCAGUGACAGAGCUGUGUGUGGGGUCAGUACAGGAAUAGCAGAGAGAGCUGCAGGGCAGGAUGGAGGUGCAGUGACAGCUGUGUGUGGGGUCAGUACAGGAAUAGCAGAGAGAGCUGCAGGGCAGGAUGGAGGUGCAGUGACAGAGCUGUGUGUGGGGUCAGUACAGGAAUAGCAGAGAGAGCUGCAGGGCAGGAUGGAGGUGCAGUGACAGAGCUGUGUGUGGGGUCAGUACAGGAAUAGCAGAGAGAGCUGCAGGGCAGGAUGGAGGUGUAGUGACAGAGCUGUGUGUGGGGUCAGUACAGGAAUAGCAGAGAGAGCUGCAGGGCAGGAUGGAGGUGCAGUGACAGAGCUGUGUGUGGGGUCAGUACAGGAAUAGCAGAGAGAGCUGCAGGGCAGGAUGGAGGUGCAGUGACAGAGCUGUGUGUGGGGUCAGUACAGGAAUAGCAGAGAGAGCUGCAGGGCAGGAUGGAGGUGUAGUGACAGAGCUGCGUGUGGGG
Molecule: non-coding RNA, 681 nt
Organism: Pelobates cultripes (western spadefoot toad)
Lineage: Eukaryota; Metazoa; Chordata; Amphibia; Anura; Pelobatidae
Source: the annotation of a GenBank genome assembly